UUGGGACUAGCGAAACCUAAAGGCGAAAUGAAAGUGAAAGUCGGCCUCGCGCCGACCUAGGGAGGAUGGGUCGCGUCACGGCGCGACCCCGCACUCCCGGGGCGUCUCGUUCUCAUUGCGAGAAGAGGCGCACCAAGAGCGUACACGCUGGGACCCGAAAGAUGGUGAACUAUGCCUGGUCAGGACGAAGUCAGGGGAAACCCUGAUGGAGGUCCGAAGCGAUUCUGACGUGCAAAUCGAUCGUCGGAACUGGGUAUAGGGGCGAAAGACUAAUCGAACCAUCUAGUAGCUGGUUCCCUCCGAAGUUUCCCUCAGGAUAGCUGGCGCUCGCUUUUGCGAGUCUCAUCUGGUAAAGCGAAUGAUUAGAGGCAUUGGGGUCGAAACGGCCUCAACCUAUUCUCAAACUUUAAAUGGGUGAGAUCUCCGGCUUGCUUAAAUUGUGAAGCCGCGAGAUCGGAUCAGAGUGCCAAGUGGGCCAUUUUUGGUAAGCAGAACUGGCGCUGUGGGAUGAACCAAACGCAGAGUUAAAGCUCCAAAAUCAACGCUUAUGGGAUACCAUGAAAGGCGUUGGUAACUUAAGACAGCAGGACGGUGGCCAUGGAA
This 603-nucleotide ribosomal RNA is filed under the name Platerodrilus sp. UPOL VP2316. RNAcentral's name for it is "eukaryotic LSU rRNA". It matches the Rfam family "Eukaryotic large subunit ribosomal RNA", at positions 694 to 1259 of the family's 3401-position model. Lineage: Eukaryota; Metazoa; Arthropoda; Insecta; Coleoptera; Lycidae. The record is from RNAcentral.